AGGGUGUAAACGCUGCAGACUCGGUGUUGGAAGCCCUUUGGGGGCAUUCAGUGCCGGAGAGAAGUUGUUAAGUCUGCUACUUGGGGAGUACGUCCGCAAGGAUGAAACUUAAAGGAAUUGGCGGGGGAGCACCGCAACGGGAGGAGCGUGCGGUUUAAUUGGAUUCAACACCGUAAAACUCACCAGGGAAGACUGUUACAUGAAGGCCGAGAUGAAGACUCUGCUAGAUUUUCAGAGAGGAGGUGCAUGGCGUCAGUGACU
Molecule: ribosomal RNA, 261 nt
Filed under: uncultured archaeon
Lineage: Archaea
Description: partial 16S ribosomal RNA
Rfam family: Archaeal small subunit ribosomal RNA
Source: RNAcentral